This 288-nucleotide long non-coding RNA is filed under the name Helianthus annuus (common sunflower). Its description in RNAcentral is "hypothetical non coding rna". The record is from RNAcentral. Lineage: Eukaryota; Viridiplantae; Streptophyta; Magnoliopsida; Asterales; Asteraceae.
GGGUCAGAGCAAACUGACCUGAAGUGUUAAUCAGAAUAUAUUCUAUAUCAGGUUUGGUAGUUCUUGAAAACUACUGAUCUGAUAUCUCUUGGAGUUUUUUCACCUGCUGUAAGAUCGUUCCUGUCCUUUAUCUUCAUUUUUUGUUUGUUCUUGCAUCAUUCUUGUCCGAGUCUAGGCAUCCCUGUUUACCGGACUAGUCGGGCCGGCCUUGAUCGAGUCUGUCUACUUGUUACUUGGUGUGUCUUGAUUUGGUUGCAUCUGUUUAUGUUAAGAAUGGCUCCUGAGUAA